UGGAGGUUUUGAAGGAGGGAGUGAUGUGAUCACGGGAACGGGUGUGUGUGAGGAAGCGGGCAGCAGAGUUUUGGAUGUGUCGGAGUUUAUUUAAGGCUUUUGUACAUGAACCAUAGAGGAUGCUGUGCAGUUGUUGAUGUGUAUGAACUGUUGGUGAGAUAAGAAUGGAGCCAGGAGAGUGCAGUGCCAGUGAUGUUGCAGUAGCUUUCCAGUUGUGACAGAUGGAUGGAGUGGUUGAUGGUGUGGAAGGCUGCAGUGAGGAAAAGCAU
This is a long non-coding RNA of Etheostoma spectabile (orangethroat darter), 269 nucleotides long. RefSeq lists it as uncharacterized. Lineage: Eukaryota; Metazoa; Chordata; Actinopteri; Perciformes; Percidae. The transcript has 4 exons. The record is from RefSeq and is a predicted model, not a curated record.